Molecule: unclassified non-coding RNA, 250 nt
Filed under: Verrucaria sp.
Lineage: Eukaryota; Fungi; Ascomycota; Eurotiomycetes; Verrucariales; Verrucariaceae
Also listed under: 1 other name
Description: partial contains 5.8S ribosomal RNA, internal transcribed spacer 2, and large subunit ribosomal RNA
Source: RNAcentral
AACGCACAUUGCGCCCCUUGGUAUUCCAUGGGGCAUGCCUGUUCGAGCGUCAUUUACACCCUCAAGCUUUGCUUGGUGAUGGGCGUCUGUCCCGCGGUUCCGCGUGGACUCGCCCCAAAGGUAUUGGCAGCGGUCAUGCCAGCUUCUCGCGCAGCACAUUGCGCUUCUCGAAGUUCUGGAGGAUCAGCGUCCAUCAAGCGUAACUUUAUAACUUGACCUCGGAUCAGGUAGGGAUACCCGCUGAACUUAA